AUGUAAUGCCUAUAGCGUUAAUGCACCGGAUCCCAUUAGAACUCCGCAUUUAAGUGCGCUUGGGAUAGAUUAGUAAUGGGAUGGGUGAUCUCCCAGGAAGUCUUAGUGUUUUACAUG
Picea glauca (white spruce) is the source of this 117-nucleotide non-coding RNA. Lineage: Eukaryota; Viridiplantae; Streptophyta; Pinopsida; Pinales; Pinaceae. The record is from Rfam.